AGAUGCCAUGGAGACAAGGCCAAAGGGGUUAGGAAACUUUUCUCUAGUCUUUUUUGGACAGCCUCAGUAAGGGUAGCAUGGGAUACAGAAUUAAAGAGCCUCAUCUUUUGAGAUGGAAAACUCAAGGUCCAAGCAAGACUCUGUCAUUUACUGUUUGAUUUUUAACAGCUAGCCAAAAAAAUCCGAGAGAAGUUCAACCGUUACUUGGAUGUGGUCAAUCGGAACAAGCAAGUUGUAGAAGCAUCCUAUACGGCUCACCUAACCUCUCCCCUAACUGCGAUUCAAGACUGCUGUACUAUCCCACCUUCCAUGAUGGAAUUCGAUGGGAACUUUAAUACCAAUGUGUCUAGAACAAUUAGUUGUGAUCGACUUUCUACUACUGUUAAUAGCCGGGCCUUCAAUCCAGGACGAGACUUAAAUUCAGGGGUCUAGAACUGAGCCGCAGUAUCUCCAAGUUCUUGCAGACAACCUGAAAUCCAACCCUGGAAUUAAGUGGCAAUAUUUCAGUUCAGAAGAAGGAAUUUUCACUGUUUUCCCAGCACACAAGUUCCGGUGUAAGGGCAGCUACGAACACCGCAGUAGACCCAUCUACGUCUCUACAGUCCGGCCGCAGUCAAAGCACAUAGUAGUGAUUCUGGACCACGGGGCUUCAGUCACAGACACUCAGCUUCAGAUUGCCAAGGACGCUGCUCAGGUCAUCCUCAGCGCCAUCGACGAACAUGACAAGAUUUCUGUGUUAACUGUGGCGGAUACCGUCCGGACUUGCUCACUAGACCAGUGCUAUAAGACCUUCUUGUCUCCAGCCACCAGUGAGACAAAAAGGAAAAUGUCUACCUUUGUUAGCAGCGUGAAGUCUUCAGACAGUCCUACCCAGCACGCAGUGGGAUUCCAAAAGGCAUUUCAGCUGAUUCGAAGCACAAACAAUAACACAAAGUUCCAAGCAAAUACAGACAUGGUCAUCAUUUACCUGUCAGCUGGCAUUACAUCAAAGGACUCUUCGGAAGAAGAUAAAAAAGCGACUCUCCGAGUCAUCAAUGAAGAAAAUAGCUUUCUAAACAACUCCGUAAUGAUUCUCACCUAUGCCCUCAUGAACGAUGGGGUGACUGGUUUGAAAGAGCUGGCUUUUCUGAGGGAUCUAGCUGAACAGAAUUCAGGGAAGUACGGUGUGCCAGACCGGACGGCCUUGCCUGUGAUUAAGGGCAGCAUGAUGGUGCUGAACCAGUUGAGCAACCUGGAGACCACAGUGGGCAGGUUCUACACAAACCUUCCCAACCGGAUGAUUGAUGAAGCCGUCUUCAGCCUCCCCUUCUCUGAUGAGAUGGGAGAUGGUUUGAUAAUGACUGUGAGUAAACCCUGUUAUUUUGGAAACCUACUUCUGGGAAUUGUAGGUGUGGACGUGAAUCUGGCUUACAUUCUUGAAGACGUGACGUAUUACCAAGACUCUUUGGCUUCCUAUACUUUUCUCAUAGAUGACAAAGGAUAUACACUUAUGCACCCAUCUCUUACCAGGCCAUAUUUAUUGUCAGAGCCCCCACUUCAUACUGACAUCAUACAUUAUGAAAAUAUUCCAAAAUUUGAAUUAGUUCGGCAAAAUAUCCUAAGCCUCCCUCUGGGCAGCCAGAUUAUCGCAGUCCCUGUGAACUCAUCCCUGUCUUGGCACAUAAAUAAGCUGAGAGAAACUGGAAAGGAAGCCUACAAUGUUAGCUAUGCCUGGAAGAUGGUACAGGACACUUCCUUUAUUCUGUGUAUUGUGGUGAUACAACCAGAAAUACCUGUGAAACAACUGAAGAACCUCAACACUGUUCCCAGCAGCAAGCUGCUGUACCACCGGCUGGAUCUCCUGGGCCAGCCCAGUGCUUGCCUCCACUUCAAACAGCUGGCAACCCUAGAAAGUCCCACCGUCAUGCUGUCUGCUGGCAGCUUUUCCUCCCCCUAUGAGCACCUCAGCCAGCCAGAGACAAAGCGCAUGGUAGAGCACUACACCGCCUAUCUCAGCGACAACACCCGCCUCAUUGCUAACCCGGGCCUGAAAUUCUCUGUCAGAAAUGAAGUAAUGGCUACCAGCCACGUCACAGAUGAAUGGAUGACACAAAUGGAAAUGAGUAGCCUGAACACUUACAUUGUCCGCCGUUACAUAGCAACGCCCAAUGGCGUCCUCAGAAUUUAUCCUGGUUCCCUCAUGGACAAAGCAUUUGAUCCCACUAGGAGACAAUGGUAUCUCCAUGCAGUAGCUAAUCCAGGGUUGAUUUCUUUGACUGGUCCUUACUUAGAUGUUGGAGGAGCUGGUUAUGUUGUGACAAUCAGUCACACAAUUCAUUCAUCCAGUACACAGCUGUCUUCUGGGCACACUGUGGCUGUGAUGGGCAUUGACUUCACACUCAGGUACUUCUACAAAGUUCUGAUGGACCUAUUACCAGUGUGUAACCAAGAUGGUGGCAACAAAAUAAGGUGCUUCAUAAUGGAGGACAGGGGUUAUCUGGUGGCGCACCCGACUCUCAUCGACCCCAAAGGACAUGCACCUGUGGAGCAGCAGCACAUCACCCACAAGGAGCCCCUGGUAGCAAAUGAUAUCCUCAACCACCCCAACUUUGUAAAGAAAAACCUGUGCAACAGCUUCAGUGACAGAACGGUCCAGAGGUUUUAUAAAUUCAACACCAGCCUUGCGGGGGAUUUGACGAACCUUGUGCAUGGCAGCCACUGUUCCAAAUACAGAUUAGCAAGGAUCCCAGGAACCAACGCGUUUGUUGGCAUUGUCAAUGAAACCUGCGACUCUCUUGCCUUCUGUGCCUGCAGCAUGGUGGACCGACUCUGUCUCAACUGUCACCGAAUGGAACAAAAUGAAUGUGAAUGUCCUUGUGAGUGCCCUCUAGAGGUCAAUGAGUGCACUGGCAACCUCACCAAUGCAGAGAACCGAAACCCAAGCUGCGAGGUCCACCAGGAGCCGGUGACAUACACAGCUAUUGAUCCUGGCCUGCAAGAUGCUCUUCACCAGUGUGUCAACAGCAGGUGCAGUCAGAGGCUGGAAAGUGGGGACUGUUUUGGGGUGCUGGAUUGUGAAUGGUGCAUGGUGGACAGUGAUGGAAAGACUCACCUGGACAAAUCCUACUGUGCCCCCCAGAAAGAAUGCUUCGGGGGGAUUGUGGGAGCCAAAAGUCCCUACGUUGAUGACAUGGGAGCAAUAGGUGAUGAGGUGAUCACAUUAAACAUGAUUAAAAGCGCCCCUGUGGGUCCUGUGGCUGGAGGGAUCAUGGGAUGCAUCAUGGUCUUGGUCCUGGCGGUGUACGCCUACCGCCACCAGAUUCAUCGCCGGAGCCAUCAGCAUAUGUCUCCUCUUGCUGCCCAAGAAAUGUCAGUGCGUAUGUCCAACCUGGAGAAUGACAGAGAUGAAAGGGACGACGACAGCCAUGAAGACAGAGGCAUCAUCAGCAACACUCGGUUUAUAGCUGCGGUCAUCGAACGACAUGCACACAGUCCAGAAAGAAGGCGCCGCUACUGGGGUCGAUCAGGAACAGAAAGUGAUCAUGGUUACAGCACCAUGAGCCCACAGGAGGACAGUGAAAAUCCUCCAUGCAACAAUGACCCCUUGUCAGCCGGGGUCGAUGUGGGAAACCAUGAUGAGGACUUAGACCUGGAUACCCCCCCUCAGACUGCUGCCCUACUAAGUCACAAGUUCCACCACUACCGGUCACACCACCCUACACUUCAUCAUAGCCACCACUUACAGGCGGCUGUCACGGUACACACUGUCGAUGCAGAAUGCUAACAAUCUCCUCACCUCCACUCCAAGACGAGAUCUGGGAGCUACAGAAUGUUCUGGAAAGAAAAAGAACCAGCUUAAAACCCACAGCAAGAGACCUCCCUUGUGUUUGUGCUUUGUGCAGAGUUGUUUGAGUCAUUUCCUCCUGCCUGUCGACAUGGUUAAAAACAAGAGAAACAACAACACAGUCACAUUUGUGAAGACCUGAGGCUGGUUCUGAAAUGGAGGGGAAAUAAGCCUGAUGAACGAACCUGCCAUAACACUAAUGGAAGGGAACAGAAGGCGAACCUCCAAACACAGACGGAACCUGCAAGUGAAGCUGAGCCAGAGGAAUGUUCCGAAGAGCCAGAAGCAUUCAGCUCUCCUUAACUGGAAGAGAGAAAAAUCUGCUCACCCAGAGACUGGAAUGUGGCACAUGCAGAUACAAAUGUGUGCAUUGAAGAUUUCGCUUUGUUUCUUAGCGGUACCUGGAUACCACAGUUGCUGUAUGGAGCUCAUGUUAUGCUCUAAACGAUGCAUCUCAAAAUUUCUAAGUAAAGGAUUAUUUUUCUACUAUUUAUUGAACUUUCAAACAUUCUCAAACUUUGGGGAAAAGGAAAGGAAACACAGGAGAAGUUUUCAGCAGUUGCCCCGAGCUGUUUUGUGUGUAAUGAAGUGGUUCUUUGAUUAAGGAGCUCUAUUUCUUAUUUAACUGAUAUCCCACUGCCCCACUCCACAAAAUAGGAAAAUGAAGAAAUCUUUCUCUCUGACUUGUUUACAUCAUUUCACGGAAACACAUCUUUAUUUGUAAUGCAGUAUUCUUUCUCUGUGUUUAACAGAGAUGGGGAAGGGCAGAGGAAUCUAAAAGGUUUUAAAAGAAAUGUUAUGUUUCUUAUGACUUGUUUCCACUCCUCGUACAAUGCUAUUCUUAGGUUUCUUCGAAACCUAAUGUUAGAACCGCAUCCUUUCAGCUAAGGGAGGGUUGGAUUUAUUUUCCUUGUUUUAGAGACUACAAAUUUUUAAAUGUCCCAUUUUGACUGAGAAUAUUGACAUAUAAGGGAAGAAUUUUUCUAAAUUGUGAAAGUCUGGUUCUUAAUUAAAGAAUUUUUUUUUUAAUAUCAUGGUUAAAAGCUGCUGCCAGUUAGCCAAGACAUUAUCCACCAAAUUGCUUUGUGAUUUAUACAGGGAUUAAUCAAAUCUGGCUACUAUAACAUGGGGCAUUGUAACUUUAAAGUAGUGUUUUAAUUACAGUGAUGUAUUUUAGACUCACAUUUUGUGAUUCAAAUAUGUUAUAAAGACAUUCUUGCACUGUGGUAAAGAAUGUGUGUGGUAAAUCUCCGUUUAUGUGUAGUUGGAAAAAAUUCACUGAAUAAUGUUUUAAUGAUAGGGUAUUAUGAUACAGUGUAAAAAAACAAUUGGUUCUUCAGCAGUACAGAAAGUAAACUAUAUAUGUGCUAUCAGGAAACCCCUUCAUACUGUGUAUAAAAUUGCAAUCUAGUGAAAUAAACUGUAUGCAACAGACCAUU
Molecule: small RNA, 5262 nt
Filed under: Pongo abelii (Sumatran orangutan)
Lineage: Eukaryota; Metazoa; Chordata; Mammalia; Primates; Hominidae
Description: processed transcript
Source: RNAcentral